GUAGAACGUGUUGAAGAAUGGC
RNAcentral lists this microRNA (22 nucleotides) under Callorhinchus milii (elephant shark). RNAcentral describes it as "eshark_NOVEL_210". The record is from RNAcentral. Lineage: Eukaryota; Metazoa; Chordata; Chondrichthyes; Chimaeriformes; Callorhinchidae.